ACCAGGAUGGCCGAGAGGUUAAGGCGUUUGACUUAAGAUCCAAUGGACAUGUGGGGUUCGAACCCCACUCCUGGUA
Molecule: transfer RNA, 76 nt
Filed under: Salmo salar (Atlantic salmon)
Lineage: Eukaryota; Metazoa; Chordata; Actinopteri; Salmoniformes; Salmonidae
Rfam family: tRNA
About the family: Transfer RNA (tRNA) molecules are approximately 80 nucleotides in length. Their secondary structure includes four short double-helical elements and three loops (D, anti-codon, and T loops).
Source: Rfam by way of RNAcentral